RNAcentral lists this long non-coding RNA (752 nucleotides) under Sorghum bicolor (sorghum). Its description in RNAcentral is "long non-coding RNA (SBIC_LNC004044)". Lineage: Eukaryota; Viridiplantae; Streptophyta; Magnoliopsida; Poales; Poaceae. The record is from RNAcentral.
AUGAGCUGAGCUGAGCUCCCUAAAAGAGACAGCAGAGCUGCAGGCACAUACAUAUACAGUCAUGCAUGUUCAACGGAAGCUUCUUGCACCUGGCUAUAUUACCUCGUGAACUCUUCGUCUCCUCCUGUUGAAGUAGAACAGAGGUAGAAGAUGUAUAACCCUCCGGCGAGGAAGGAGAUGUCCUACUAGGCUACUACGGGCACAUCCAGAAGCGCCACCACGACAGAGGCUGCCUCUACGCAUGGUGACUGAAUCCUUCUCCUGUCACUCUCCUCGGACCUCUUGCUUGCUCUUGCUCAUCAUCCACCCCUCAUCUCUGGCAGCCUCUUCACCGCGUGCUGCUGCUUCUGCUGCCACGAGACCUGCGAGUGCUGCCCCGAAUGCCUCUGCUGCUGCGGCUAAUAAUCAGUUGUUCCUGACAAGCUCAUUCCUCACAGCGAGGGGAACAGCUAGUUCAGGAUGGAACCCUGUUGAACUUGGAAUGGAACUAAGAUCUGUGUUUGUUGAUUGUUGUUGUCUUGUUGCCGUGUUUUGUGUUUGUUGAUUGCUGUUGACUUGUUGCACACAUGUGAUGUGCCAGAUGUGCUUUAAGGUUCAAAAGUGAAGGUGGGUGUGUAGAGAUAUACUGUGUUAUUUUUCUGAUCUUCAGUGCUCACAUGUAUCAGUAUUAUUCCCAUAAUGCACCCUUUGUGAUUAUUUACAUGUUUGAAUAGUUUUUUUCCCCUUAAUUAGAUGGGGCCAUCAGGUUCCAG